AAUGAUUCACCUCAUUCUGUUACAUAAUUUGUUGUAACAAUCAAUAGCGAUUUAUGAAUGAAUAUAAAUAUAUGCAGGAUCACCGCACAGAUGGUCAAGUGGGAAUCCCAUUCUGUCAUUUCUCUCUCUCCUUUUUAGAUUACCAUUUUUAACUGAAGCAAACCAUUGCGCAAUGAACAUGCAGUUGGCAGAUCGACUGAUAUAUCACGUAAUUUUAGUAUUGUUUGGAUCUGUAACCCCUCCAACGAGCGUUUCUACGAGUUAUUCUGAAUAGACCAAACAAACUAAUUAUUAGCACUGGUGAAGCA
RNAcentral lists this long non-coding RNA (308 nucleotides) under Elaeis guineensis (African oil palm). RNAcentral describes it as "long non-coding RNA (EGUI_LNC040180)". The record is from RNAcentral. Lineage: Eukaryota; Viridiplantae; Streptophyta; Magnoliopsida; Arecales; Arecaceae.